UGUUAUUGCCAUUUUGUCAGGUCCAUGA
RNAcentral lists this non-coding RNA (28 nucleotides) under Mus musculus (house mouse). Lineage: Eukaryota; Metazoa; Chordata; Mammalia; Rodentia; Muridae. The record is from RNAcentral.